GAAGCUUGUGUCUUUUGUGGGGAAUGUCGUCUGGUCCAAGGCUAGGUAGCUAGCUAGAAUAGUAGUUGUAUUGUCCUCGGACCAGGCUUCAUUCCCCUCAAUUACUCUUGCUUC
RNAcentral lists this microRNA precursor (114 nucleotides) under Linum usitatissimum (flax). RNAcentral describes it as "miR166c stem-loop (lus-MIR166c)". Its record names the gene lus-MIR166c. The stretch from base 14 to 102 matches the Rfam family "mir-166 microRNA precursor family". Rfam says of the family: This family represents the plant microRNA (miRNA) precursor mir-166. Animal miRNAs are transcribed as ~70nt precursors and subsequently processed by the Dicer enzyme to give a ~22nt product. In plants the precursor sequences may be longer, and the carpel factory (caf) enzyme appears to be involved in processing. Lineage: Eukaryota; Viridiplantae; Streptophyta; Magnoliopsida; Malpighiales; Linaceae. The record is from miRBase by way of RNAcentral.